RNAcentral lists this ribosomal RNA (682 nucleotides) under Leifsonia aquatica. RNAcentral describes it as "bacterial SSU rRNA". It matches the Rfam family "Bacterial small subunit ribosomal RNA", at positions 60 to 753 of the family's 1533-position model. Lineage: Bacteria; Bacillati; Actinomycetota; Actinomycetes; Micrococcales; Microbacteriaceae. The record is from RNAcentral.
AGUCGAACGAUGAACCAGGAGCUUGCUCUUGGGGAUUAGUGGCGAACGGGUGAGUAACACGUGAGUAACCUGCCCUUGACUCUGGGAUAACCUCCGGAAACGGAAGCUAAUACCGGAUACGAACUGCGAAGGCAUCUUCAGCAGUUGGAAAGAACUUCGGUCAAGGAUGGACUCGCGGCCUAUCAGGUAGUUGGUGAGGUAAAGGCUCACCAAGCCUACGACGGGUAGCCGGCCUGAGAGGGUGACCGGCCACACUGGGACUGAGACACGGCCCAGACUCCUACGGGAGGCAGCAGUGGGGAAUAUUGCACAAUGGGCGCAAGCCUGAUGCAGCAACGCCGCGUGAGGGAUGACGGCCUUCGGGUUGUAAACCUCUUUUAGUAGGGAAGAAGCGAAAGUGACGGUACCUGCAGAAAAAGCACCGGCUAACUACGUGCCAGCAGCCGCGGUAAUACGUAGGGUGCGAGCGUUGUCCGGAAUUAUUGGGCGUAAAGAGCUCGUAGGCGGUCUGUCGCGUCUGCUGUGAAAACCCGAGGCUCAACCUCGGGCCUGCAGUGGGUACGGGCAGACUAGAGUGCGGUAGGGGAGAAUGGAAUUCCUGGUGUAGCGGUGGAAUGCGCAGAUAUCAGGAGGAACACCGAUGGCGAAGGCAGUUCUCUGGGCCGUAACUGACGCUGAGGAG